RNAcentral lists this long non-coding RNA (1018 nucleotides) under Monodelphis domestica (gray short-tailed opossum). Its description in RNAcentral is "lncRNA (ENSMODG00000044557.1)". The record is from RNAcentral. Lineage: Eukaryota; Metazoa; Chordata; Mammalia; Didelphimorphia; Didelphidae.
CUCUUUUUCUUUUUGGUUGAAUUUAUUUUGAACUGAUUUUCUCUUCCCCAUUUUCUCUUUGCCUCUCUUAACUGAUUUUAAAAAUCAUUUUUGAGCUCUCCCAAAGCCUGUGUAGGAAAGGAUUUCUAGCAGAGCAUAGCAAAGCAGGCUGAUAGCCUGGGAUAUUGCAAAACCAGGAUUCCACAGAGCUGGCUGGGUCAGCAUUCCAAGACAGUUGGGAAGCUCUCUCAAGCUGGGUGGCAGACUGAGUGGCUGUGUACCAAAGGGUCUCCCUGAAGAAACCAAUUUAGGAGCUGCCAAGGACUUUGGGUUAUCUUUUAAAGGUUGAGUGAGAGUUUCCCUUCACUCUGGUGGACAGUUGUGAACUUCCUCCCUUUCUGGACCUUGUGAAGACCCUAUAUCUUGAUCUUGCUGUUUUGACACAACCAAGGACUCUGGAGUUUGUGAAAAUCUGGGCCCCCUUUGGACUUUAUCUUUUAUUUACCUUUUAGUUAGUUAUUAUUAAGCUUAGAUUAUAAACCUUAGUGUGUUAAACUCUGGGUGGUUAGAGAUAAGUCACUCCCUGAUUCCCCUUAUCCCUCUUUGGCUUAACAAAUCUCUUUUAUAUACAUUUUGUUAGUGUGAUCCAUCUAUUAACCUUUCCUUUCCCUUUCCUUCCCCAAACCUUUCCUAUUACAUUUUGGCUGAGCCUACUAGGUUGACUUUAGAUAGUGAAAAUCCUGUUAGAAAUCAAAUAGACAGUUAAGGGGAUAACUGGAAGAUUCCAUUUUCACUACCAGCACUUGCCUGGCUGGUCUCCUUUCUCAGCUUCAACUCCAGAAAGAAACAAAGUUCAAAAUCUCUUCUUUUCUCCUGGCCAGCUCAACUCUCAUAUAGACCACCAACUUAAGAGCUUCUCCCCGAUCAGCUUCCACUGCUCAGAACCAGAGAGACAGAGACCAAGUCCAAAAGCCAAGUUUCUCUUCUCAGUGUCAACUUCAACUGCUCAGAGGGAGAGAAACCCCCAAAACCAAGUCAG